GGAGAUCCCUGACGACAUGGGAUCAAAAGGCCUGAAGCAUGUGACUUCUAAUGCCAGCGAUAGUGAAAGUAGUUACCGUGGUCAAGAAGAAUACGUCUUAUCUUAUGAACCAGUGAAUCAACAAGAAGUUAAUUAUACUCGACCAGUGAUCAUAUUGGGACCUAUGAAAGACAGGAUAAAUGAUGACUUGAUCUCAGAAUUUCCUGACAAAUUUGGAUCCUGUGUUCCUCGUAAGUAAACCAAACAAAAACUUUUGUUACUCUUAACAUUUCCUGUCACUGCGUGUGGGAAAAAUAGAUAUAACCAUUAUUUAAUGGUUUGUAUUUAUCAGUUACUCUUCCAUCCUCCAUAUUAUUGUCCUUUCUCAGAUUUAAAUUAAUCUGUUCCUUUGAACUUUACAAUGAUGUAAGUAGAAAAUGGAUUUAUUGUGGGUUUUUUUUAAAUAUUAAACACUUCCCCAAGUUUUUCUCUGUUAAAGAUACAACUAGACCAAAACGAGAUUAUGAGGUAGAUGGAAGAGAUUAUCAUUUUGUGACUUCAAGAGAGCAGAUGGAAAAAGAUAUCCAGGAACAUAAAUUCAUUGAAGCUGGCCAGUAUAACAAUCAUCUAUAUGGAACAAGUGUUCAGUCUGUGCGAGAAGUAGCAGAAAAGGGCAAACACUGUAUCCUUGAUGUGUCUGGAAAUGCCAUAAAGAGAUUACAGAUUGCACAGCUUUACCCUAUCUCCAUUUUUAUUAAACCCAAAUCCAUGGAAAAUAUCAUGGAAAUGAAUAAGCGUCUAACAGAAGAACAAGCCAGAAAAACAUUUGAGAGAGCUAUGAAACUGGAACAGGAGUUUACUGAACAUUUCACAG
Molecule: small RNA, 853 nt
Filed under: Pongo abelii (Sumatran orangutan)
Lineage: Eukaryota; Metazoa; Chordata; Mammalia; Primates; Hominidae
Description: retained intron
Source: RNAcentral